UUCAUUUCUGCCUUCAUGGGGUUGUCUUGACAAGCUUUGCUCAGAAAGGGGUUGAGAGAGUGUGGCUUGGCCAGUGGGUCUCAUGGCUGAACCAGGACUCGAACCCUGGUCUCCAGCAGUCAGGCCACGCUGGCUCUCAGCAGCACUAGGCCUCCUACAAGGGAACUGAAAAGAGAGGCCCUGUUCUUGGCGGGAGAUAUAUUGGCAGGACGCUUGUGUUCCUCCUAUAGUCUUCCCCCAGGGAUGGAACAUUGUAUGCGUAGAAGAAGGCGAUCUUGCUGUGAAUCUAUCUGCAUCAUCAAGUAUACAGGAGAAAAAUUUACUGCACACCUGUGAAGAAGUCACUUGUAUCUAUCAUGGCGUUCCCAGAGCCAAAACCCAAAAAACCUGAGUUGCCAAAGAAACUGUUUGGUACACUGGAAUGUAAACAGGGAGCUGUCAGAGCAGUGAGAUUCAAUGUGGAUGGAAAUUAUUGUCUCACCUGUGGCAGUGACAAGUCACUUAAACUAUGGAACCCCCACAAAGGGACUCUCCUUAAAACAUACAGUGGCCACGGCUAUGAAGUCCUGGAUGCAGCAGGGUCAUUUGAUAACAGCCAGGUUUGUUCAUGUGGAGCAGAUAAGACAGUGGUGUUAUGGGAUGUUGCUACAGGGCAAGUGAUUCGCAAGUUCCGUGGCCAUGCAGGGAAGGUAAACUGUGUCCUGUUCAAUGAGGAGGCAACUGUAAUCCUUUCAGGUUCUAUUGACUCCAGUGUUCGCUGCUGGGACUGUCGCUCACGCAGACCAGAUCCCAUCCAGAUACUAGAUGAGGCCAAGGAUGGUGUCUCUAGUUUGAAGGUGUCAGACCAUGAAAUCCUUUCAGGUUCUGUGGAUGGGCGUAUUCGGCGCUAUGACCUCCGUGCUGGGGAGCUUUACUCAGAUUACAUUGGAAGCCCAAUCACCUGUGUGUGUUUUAGCAAAGAUGGGCAGUGUACUUUGGCUUCUACUUUGGAUUCUGCACUACGAUUGCUGGACAAGGAGACAGGCGAGCUACUAGGAGAAUAUAGUGGUCACAAAAAUAUAACAUACAAGAUGGACUGUUGCCUGAGUGAGAGAGAUACACAUGUUGGCAGCUGUUCUGAGGAUGGGAAGGUGUAUUUCUGGGACCUGGUUGAGGGAUCCCUUGCCCUGGCUUUGCCAGUGAGCAAAAGUGCAGUUCAGUCUCUGUCCUUCCAUCCUACGGAGACUUGCCUUCUCACUGCUGCCGAGGGUCUGGUCCAGCUUUGGAGGGAAGACUCUUACGUUGCUGAGGAAAGAAUACCUGCUUGAAUAUUAUUGUCCUGUUCUGAGCAGAUGACCUCAGCUGGAGAGAGAAGGAAAUCUCUGGCAUGCCUCUCUUCAGAAGCACACAGAUGUAUUUAUUUGCUUUGUGGAUCCUACACUGUUAGCCUGUGUGUCCAAGUCCACCAGUCAGCAUUCCCUCUUCCUUCUCCAUCAAGUUAUAACCAGAAGAGCAUUGCUGGAUUGAACCACAGGCCUGUGCAGCGCUUUUGUUCCCACAGUGGCCAAUCAGAUGCCCAUGGAAAGGCCACAGGCAGGACAAGGAAUCAAUUAGCACCCUGCCUGUGCCUGGUAUUGAGAGACACUGGGGACAUGUUUAUGCAUCAUGAGUAAUAACCAUCAAUAGUUCUGGCCUCUUGUCUAAUCCCAUCUUAAAGCCGAGUCAGCAACCAUUACCUCAUCUUGUGGCAAACUAUAAUUGAAACACUGCACUGUACAAAAUACUGUAUUUCCACUUCUCUCUCCUUGCUUUCCUGUCCUUCAGAUUUGUUGAUGAUUUGAGCCCAUUCUACUUUAACACUGAUCAUUGUUCUAUGUUGGCCUUGUGUACACAAAGAUAAUAGUCUUGAGUGAAGAAACAGGGCUGGAACUCAGUCAUAGGUCACCAAACUGGGCAGCUCAGUUCAUUACAUCAUAUCCUGGAAAGGAGCACCUGUUUUGCCACGUUGUUUGAACCAGCUUUACAGGUUUGGAAAACCAACUGCCUGUUGCUCUGUCAAGGUCUGUCUGAUUGCAGUGAGAAAUAUGCAAGGGAAUAGAGAGCUAGGAGCCUAGAAUCAGCAUUACAUUAAUUUUAAAGAAGUCUCUCCACAGCACAGAUAGAGUGGCAGGCAUCUUCCUUUCCACACUCCCAUUUGUAGUCCUGAUGCAACUGUGGAGGAUCUUACCACCACUCCUCUAGAGCAUCCACAGGAGCUCAAAUUCUGUUUGCUAUUAUCUAUCUUUGUGAGUCAGGGUUUUCAGCACUUAUAGCCAUUAAAACAAAAGGCUGAAAUGUGUUCGGUGUCAAAAACCACUUCACAAUUUCAGCUUCUUAUUCUGCCCAAACAGCUGCAGCCUUUUCCUUAAACUUUAUUUUUUCUUAUAUUUGCACAAUUUGGAUUUACUGUAUUAAUUUUUGCAUGAGAAAAAGAGAGGAGUCAGUAUCUAGUAAAUACUUAUCUUUAUUCCAUCUGUGUGAAGGAAAUCAAUUUCCAAUGCAAUGAAAUUAAGUUUAUGCAAAACUGUGUUCUAGGUGGAUCCAUAGCUUUUAUCAGAUUCCCAAAGAGGACUAUGAUCCAGGAAAAGGUUAAGAUGCACUAUGCUGGUCAGUUUAAGCAGGGAAACAUGAGCUGAAAACAGUGCACGUGGCUUUUGUUCUUUCGCACUAGGUAAGAAGCAAGGUACAGUCAGUUGGCAUAUGGUACUGAGGACACUCAGGUAAGGCCAGUGUCAGCAUCCAGCAUCAGAUUGUCUGUGCCAAGAAAGUGAUCAGCCUCAGAAUUACUAGCUGAUCUAUUACUUCAUCUUGGCUUACAUGCUGAGUGACAUUUUGGUGCAUAAACAGCAGCAGUGUUCAAAGGGAUCGAAGGGUGCUGUCUAUAAAGGAAGUGACAAGCAAAGAACAGCUGAGUGCAACAACCACUGCUGGGGGCAGCAAAUGAGGAUCAGAAAAAAGGGGUCAGCAUCUUAGAUAGAGGAACAUCACUUUCAGUUUCAGAUGUCAAGGAGACAGAAGGUUAAUUACAGAAGACCAGGGGCUGUCCAGGUGAGUGUGACUGUCUUUCCCCAGCUUGGACAGUAACUAGAUCUGUGCCUGUUCUCCAAAUCUGAAAAACACUGAUUAUUUAGUGCACUUCAGAUUAAAAUUAAAUUAAGGCAGCCCCCCUAGACUAUACCCCUCACUGCAGUCCCCAGAAUUUCACCAAGAUACAGAUAUCUAGUAAAGGUGCUGGCUGAAGAACCAGAAAACUCUGUCUUGAAACAGUAACUGAAUAUUAGAAAGUAAAAUAAGGUGGAUUUGAUAAGGGAGUUAAGAAGGCACCAUAGUUGAGUUCUUGGACGAUGUGUAUUUUAAUCUCUCUCUUUUUUUUUUAAAUAUGGUAAUUGAACUCUGGCUCAACCCGUGGUGGUGAAAACAAAGUAUGUUGUUGGGUAAAAGUGGAGAGAAGAAAUAGAGGUUUGUGGAGCUUAUUUUAAUUUUGGGGAAUCUAUUGGUUUUACUGGCUAAAUCAAAGUGGGGAGUGCCAUGGCACUAGGCAGAAUGGGGCUGUAAUUUUAAGUUAUUUUGGAUGUUACGGAAGAAGACAAGUUGUAUUACAUUAACUCUUAGAAAUAGGUACUUGUGGGAUUUCUGCUUCAUGUACCAAAAUAACCUCACCAGUUUUGGGUAAUAUGCUAUUGAUUUGAGGUGGAGUGCUAUUUUAUGUUCUCUGUAUUUCUCAGGCUUGUACUAGGAAAGACUCCACAGUGUUGUAAUUCUAAUACCAGUUAUCACACUUAAUGAUAGUCUGUUGUACAUACACAUCAUGAUACAAAGCUUGGUUGAGUAACAAUAUUCAACCUGAGCAUCUGAAAAAGAGCAGCAAACAAUAUUACCUGUGCUUUUAUGUGCAUCAGUGCAAAAUUGUUCCCUCCCAGUCAGAAGUAGUUAUCUUUCAUCUGGCAAUCCAACUUCUUUGGGGGAGGGAGGGGUAGUUCUAUUGUUUCCUGCUAAUCCAGUGUUUCUGCCCUAUUGGAGAAUCUGGCUUGGAUGUCUGCAAAGGCAGAGUUGCACUAUCAGUCAGGGACACCAGACAACCGAACGGCUGCAAGCUGAAGUUCACUUGGAAAGAAUGAAGGUAAAUGUAGAAUUGAUUAAUAAGUCUCACACAGAUUGAGGAUUUGAGAAAAUUCAUAGCUUCUUCCAGAAAAGCUCCAAAUUAGUGAACAGUAUAAAUUAUCCUGCAUACACUGUGUAUUGCUAAUUGGCCAGGGAUUUGGAAUUUAAUCAAGAUUAGAAGUGUUGUAUAUAGCUUGUUGCUGCUGCCCAAACCAGCAGCUUGUUGGGUUUGUUAGAAAAUAUAGCUACUAUCCUCCAUUUCAAGGUGAUUGAGUAAAUUAGAGUGAUGCCCAGGAAAGAAACAGGAGGCUACUCUAUAAAUUUGUAGUAUAAAGGAGCAAGUGUAAGGCUGUUAAGGACUAAAUUCAAUUUAGUCCCAACUAUAGCAAGUCAACGCUUAUCCAUUGAUUCAAUGGGUCACCUCUAACUAGGGAUAGCCCCUGAUUUAGGCCCAAGUAUUACUUAUAAAGUACUCCAAACAUAAUCUGGAUACAAUUAGGACCUUUUUCAUGCUUAAAAAUCAUGACUAUAUGUGUAGUUAGUUGCAACUAACUCAACCCCUCUUAGGUUGAAAAGGACUUUGGAAUGACUGAUUUUCUCUGGAACAGGGUGAACAUUAUUUAUUUAUUUACAUGCCUUGAGCACAAAUUAUUCUUCAAGACAAAUCCGUACAAUACCAUAAGGCAGAUGCUGGUAUCUCUGUAUUCCAGCUGGGUGACUAAAGAAGGGCUUGUUUGAACAGACCAAGUGAAGUCAAGAGAGAAAUGAGAUUUAAACCACAGUUCUUGGACUGUAGUUUACUCUUAGCCCAUACGCCAGACUACUGUUUUUUUUUUCUGUUAAUUGACCAAAUAUCAUAAUGAAAUUAAGGAUACCUGAGGAUUCCAAAAUCACCUUUCCAAAACAGGGAAGAUCCAACUUUGUAACCAAGUCUAGAACAGUUCUAUUUCUCCAUCCGAAGAAAUAGCUAAACCCUCCGAUUUUUCUUUCCAUGCAGGUCUUCAAAGCAGCUGGUGACUUGCUGCAGUAUUGUUGGGAAUAUGCCAAAUAUGAUCCAUUUCUGACUGGCAUUCUACCCUCAACCAAUCCAAGAAGAAAAAAACAUUUUCUGUCCUAUGUGCACAUUAAACACCAUGCAUUCAUGGAACAGUCUGUGAUAAUUUCCCUGUCCUUCCAUGUAACUAACAUAUACAAUACAUUAAGGUGAAGGUCAUACAGAGUAGUGAAAACCUAUUUCUAAAAUAAUUUUCUGCUCUUUUGUUAUGCUUGUGUGUAUUUUAUUGUCAUGGUUCUGUUUUAUAGUUAUUAGCUACCCAGGAAUCAAAGAAAGGCAAGAGCAGCUUCAUAUUUCAUCCCAUUUGCUAUUAACCAAAUAUAUAAUUUCCCAAAAUAUUUCUAUUUUGAAACCUGGACCUUUUAGCAAAUUCUGCAAUGCUCACUACUGGUGUCUGUAAUAUGAAUGGUGAACACUAUCCAUCUUAGGGAUUUCAGUUGCUGACACAUAUAAACCUGGUUCUUCUAAACAUGGGGUGGAGAGAUUCCACUUUGGGGGGGGUAUCUAAUGAAUGGUGAGGGUUUUAGCAUAUUAUAUGCUUUUGCAAAUAAACUUCCUUGUACUCUUGAGCUAAAAAAGGCAACAACCUAAAACAGGCAAAUAAAAAAGACACUGUGGUGUUCGUUCCUUUGUAC
Molecule: RNA transcript, 5808 nt
Organism: Sceloporus undulatus (fence lizard)
Lineage: Eukaryota; Metazoa; Chordata; Lepidosauria; Squamata; Phrynosomatidae
Gene: WDR83
Gene name: WD repeat domain 83
Exons: 11
Source: RefSeq, a predicted model, not a curated record